GUAAUAAACUCCAAAAUUAUCCAGUUAUAAAUGUGUUAACAUGUUAAAGAAAUGUUAGUCACAGUGAAAAACCUUUUCAAAGUCCACUGUGAGAUUUUCUGAUUUUUUGCAGCUGUAACCAAUAUUACAGUCCAGCUCUGAGAAUUGUGCUGUUUGUUAACAGAAACUGAAAAUGUACAAAAGAGAAGCCAUGUUGUUUACUGUGUUGUCGGUGUUAUUGUUCCUGAUAAAUCCCGUCCACCUGACGCCAAUACCAACUAAAAAGUGCAGUCUCUUAGGAGAAAAAUGCGCUAAAUCUCCUACCUGUUCCAGUUUGUGGUAUAAGUGUAAAUGUUCACCCUUGGAUACAACCAAUCGCGAAGAGUUUUGUUUGACGUCCUGGGCGGUUUUAAAUCAAGUGCCUACUUGCUGUUAGCUUUAACAAAGACAGCAAUCCAAAGAACUGACAAUAUGGCUUCCAAAAUUUUCUCUCAAGUAUCAUUAUACAAUGAUUUCAGAGACAUCUUUUUUUCUGACCCUCUUAACGAAGUGGGUAGAAUAGCUUCAAGUUUUUAUUUCCUACUGUCUUAGCAACAAUACGAUAUUGUAGUUGAUUCUAGUAAAAAUAAAAACAAAAUUGUUAGUGGUU
Molecule: long non-coding RNA, 628 nt
Organism: Octopus sinensis (East Asian common octopus)
Lineage: Eukaryota; Metazoa; Mollusca; Cephalopoda; Octopoda; Octopodidae
Exons: 4
Source: RefSeq, a predicted model, not a curated record